AUCCUGCACACAGCCAUUUCACUUGCUUUGCUCCACGCCUCCACCUACCUAAAUCGCUCUCAUUAGUACUCAAUUAAGUCGAUCGGCGAGCGAUUCAGCGCGGCUCCUCGACCGAUCUCUCCGUUUCGUCAGAUCGAUCGAUCGAUCGAUCAGGGCUGUGUAUUGCGCCGUGUAGUACGUGAGAGGAUCGGAGUCGGAGCAGCGAGCGAGAUUUGUUGAAGCAAAUUAAGUAGAUCGAUCUCAUAUCGAUCAUCCUUAAUUAAUUUAUCAUGGAGCUGGUGCUGGUGAUAUCGCUGCCGCUGCUGGCGCUCAUCAUAAUCGUCGCCAUCGUCCUCUGCGUCAUCUGCCGCUAGCUUAGCUGAUUCCUUCCUGCCUCCGCGAUCAUUUUGCAUACAUGUAGUAUGUCAGUAUGUGGUGCAUCAAAUGUGAUCAUUUUGCCGCCCGUUGUUGUUGGGCACGGUGAUUGACGACAGAAAGAAUUACUCCCUUCAUAUUUUAAUGUAUGACACCAUUGACUUUUUAACCAACGUUUGACC
Molecule: small RNA, 536 nt
Filed under: Oryza sativa Japonica Group (Japanese rice)
Lineage: Eukaryota; Viridiplantae; Streptophyta; Magnoliopsida; Poales; Poaceae
Description: sRNA Os10g0479100
Source: RNAcentral